AUGAGAUGCCAUGCUGGGGUCUUGAGUCAUGAUUAUUGGAGGCAUCCCAUCUGCACAUUUUUUUUGCAAAAUGUGCGACGACAGACAGCCAGAAGCGGUAGGCGCUUUAUUAUUAUUAAGGUAGAGAUAAACCCUAGCAUAUUUAAACAAAAUAAGUUCUAUCAUGUGCUGAAAAAAAUGGUUUCUUCAGUACUCUUAUUCUCUAAAACUGCUCCUUUUUAUAAUUACCCCCCCCCUCUCAUAUAUGUUGUGCACAUACUCGAAAUUUAUUCUUCUAUUUGGCACAUAUAUCUGUUAUGA
This 300-nucleotide ribosomal RNA is filed under the name Triticum aestivum (bread wheat). RNAcentral describes it as "partial small subunit ribosomal RNA". Lineage: Eukaryota; Viridiplantae; Streptophyta; Magnoliopsida; Poales; Poaceae. The record is from RNAcentral.